GUCAGGAUGGCAGAGCGGUCUAAGGCGCCAGACUCAAGUUUCCAAACUUGCUCCGCUAAUGCGCAGACAAAGCUAGGGCUUUCUGGUCCUCUAAUGUGGGCAAGGGUUCGAAUCACUUUCCUGACA
Molecule: non-coding RNA, 126 nt
Organism: Paramuricea clavata
Lineage: Eukaryota; Metazoa; Cnidaria; Anthozoa; Malacalcyonacea; Plexauridae
Source: the annotation of a GenBank genome assembly